This 483-nucleotide ribosomal RNA is filed under the name uncultured bacterium. RNAcentral's name for it is "partial 16S ribosomal RNA". It matches the Rfam family "Bacterial small subunit ribosomal RNA", at positions 28 to 507 of the family's 1533-position model. The record is from RNAcentral.
GACGAACGCUGGCGGCGUGCUUAACACAUGCAAGUCGAACGCUGAAGCUCAGCUUUUGUUGGGUGGAUGAGUGGCGAACGGGUGAGUAACACGUGAGUAACCUGCCUCCUUCUUUGGGAUAACGCCCGGAAACGGGUGCUAAUACUGGAUAUUCACUUGUCUUCGCAUGGGGGUUGGUGGAAAGGGUUUUUCUGGUGGGGGAUGGGCUCGCGGCCUAUCAGCUUGUUGGUGGGGUGAUGGCCUACCAAGGCUUUGACGGGUAGCCGGCCUGAGAGGGUGACCGGGCACAUUGGGACUGAGAUACGGCCCAGACUCCUACGGGAGGCAGCAGUGGGGAAUAUUGCACAAUGGGCGCAAGCCUGAUGCAGCGACGCCGCGUGAGGGAUGGAGGCCUUCGGGUUGUGAACCUCUUUCGCUCAUGGUCAAGCCGCAACAAUGGUUGUGGUGAGGGUAGUGGGUAAAGAAGCGCCGGCUAACUACGUG